Molecule: long non-coding RNA, 2934 nt
Organism: Lytechinus pictus (painted urchin)
Lineage: Eukaryota; Metazoa; Echinodermata; Echinoidea; Temnopleuroida; Toxopneustidae
Exons: 2
Source: RefSeq, a predicted model, not a curated record
GUCAUCAACAUCUAGCAACAGUGAGAUGGAUGUAAGUGAGAGAGAUCAAUCUGUUACUGUAGAGACACCAAGCAAACGUAUUCCUCAGUAUGAUAAUUGCUUUCCUGCUUCCUCUCCACCACCACCACCUCCAUCCCCAUUGCAAACAUCCUACAUUGAUAACAGGAACCGGGAGGUAGAGGAUAUUGGCUACACUAAUAUGGAGGAUAUAGAUUAGAGCUGAUCUCUGCUGGUCAAGGGGAAAAAAUAUGGUGUAUUCAAACUGAAGAAGAAUGAUGAUGAAGGAGUAGAGAUUGAAAAAAAAAUGAUACUGCAAUUUGAAACAGAUUGUGAUUAUUUGCUUGUAUUUUUAUCUUGUUACUUUUACAUUAUUGAUAUUUGUCCCCCCCCCCCCCAUUCAUGAAUACCAUGUCACUAUUUUAUUUAUGAGUAUGUAAAAGUAACCAACUUAUUAAUCUGUUUUUUUUUUCCAAGGCAUAAAGCAUCUGAUUCUGUUGAUGUUUGUUCUGAACAUUUUAUUUCAUAAUAUAAAUGUGCUAAUACUCUGUGCAAUAUUGCAAUGAUGAGUUUAAAGAAUCAUCUUGAUUGUUUGCCAUAAUUUGUGCAUUUUGUUUAGAUAUGAUUUUUUGUUUGACCCUUUUUAAGAGGAAAUCCUGAUAUCUACCUAUAUGUUACAUAUACUAUUCAGGUACACAUGUAUCACCUUUUUAAAAGAACAGAAAAUAUAAUAUCCAAUAGCUAGCUCUUUUUCUUUCUAUAAAAUAAAUCAGUGUGAACUUAGCUUUGUUGAAUCUUUAGUCUCAGAUGUAAAUAAAUAAUGGGUACAAAAUUGUGAGACAAAUCUCAAACAGUAGAUGCUGGACCAUCACAGUCAUAGUACUCAAAACUAUAAUGUGGAGUAAGGAUAUUUGAUGCCUGAAAUGUUGGAAACAUUAGGAACAUAAUAGGCAAUGUAGACCAAGUUGUUGAAGUUAAUUUUCCAUAUUUGAAAAACAAUUUUUAGCAUGGUGUGUCACAGUGGUCCAAGUAUGAAUAGCAAAAUGGGACACAAAUAUAGUUAUCAGCAUUUUGAGCAAUGAAACUAUUGAAAACUGUCUUUGAAUAAAAAGUGAGAUAAUCACUUAUGGCUACCCAAAAGCUACAUUAUAAGUUUGAAUCAUGGUUAAACUUUCAGCUUAGGCAAUAAUUAUUAGACCAUACUGUAUGGGAGCUUAUUAGGAAACUGGUCUUAUAGUAAUUUCCCAAACUGUAGUGCACCAUUCAGAAUUUGGGCCAAUGUUUUCUUUUAAGAAAUAAUUGCUUAAGAGUGUAAACCAAAACUAAUUCAUAUAGGUUAAUAGGAGAAUGAAACAGAAGGAGUUUAAUUUCACUUUCUUUGUUAGUGACCUUGUUUAUUUUAUUUACUACAUUCAUUUAAGUAUAGUAAUUCAAAGAAAACAACCAAUGGUUGUAUUUCCCUGUUAUGGGAUCAACUUUUUAUGUCACUUUGAUAGUUUUGAGUAUCUAUGUCACUGCAAGAUGUACAUGCAUUAAUGAUCCCAUAAAUAUAAAAAUGUACACACCUAAUUUAUUUUGUUAUUUUUAUCAUGAUAUACUUCAUUGUGAAUUAGGAAUUAGGUUUAACUAAAAUCAUCAUGUGAUCUCAAUAUCUUGCUCUCUCUCUCUCCCCCCCCCCCCCCACCUUCCACUCUCUCCCUUUCUCUUCUCUUUUCUCUUUCCCUCCCAUAGCCCAUCUCUUUUCUUUCUCUAUAUCUUUGAUAUGUAUUUAUUCAUCUCUCUCCCCUAGAUAUCCAUCUUUUUUCUCAUUCAUAUGCCCAAUGUUCUCUGCCUCUUUUCCUCUGUAUCCUUCUCUAUCUUUCUUCUUCUGUCUCAACAUUUUUUCUAUUCUUUCACUAGUGUAAAGUGAGUCUGUAUUUAAUGUGUAAUAAAGUCAUUUCAUUCAGUGAGAGUACAUGUAUUUUUUUUGUUAGAUAUCUGAAAUAAACAAGUUAAAUUAAUGAAUAAUUGAUAUUCAUGUUUAAACUGAAAAUAUUUAAUUUUAUUCAAGGUCAAGUUUAAAUACCCAGUUGACAUUUACCAGGGUUAGAAAAAAUAUGAGUUUUAUGAAGAAUUUCACUCUGUGUUUCAUAAUACUUGUGCUACCUAUCUUCAUAAUACUUGUGCUACCUAUCUUCAUUAUCAUGCGAGGAGUAUUUUUUUAAGUGGAUUAACAAUUUUUCCUGCAUUAAAAGAGAGAAAAAAAACACAGGGAUUAAUGCAUGGUAUUGAGUACAUUGUUGUUAACAAAUCUAUCAGGAUGAAGGUGAAUUAGUAACGUUGCAUUACAUGCAUGUGUAAUGAAACACACAGAUUGAUGUGUACAAAACAGUGUUCAUACAAGUAUGUUAUUGCAGUAUAAUUGUUUAAUGAUAAUUCAAGAGAAUAGUAAAAAACAUAAAGGUAUUAGACAUUAUCAUUGUAUUGAUACAAAAUGUAAUUUCUUUUUUUUUUAUUGCUAAAUUGCUAAAUUAAUAUCAAUAUUUUGUUAUUCACAGAAAAGUUGCUCUUACUAUUUAUGAGCAAUGAUGGGCUUUGUAGGAUUCAGUGUAAAACUGUUACUUACACUAUUUACAAUGUGCCGUGAAAAAUAUUUAAUUGACUGAGUUGUGUGGAUUUACCUGUAAAUUUAUUUCACAUGUGAUAUUACUUUGAAGCAAAAAUUGUUGCUGCUUUCUGUCUACAAAAUAAUAUUGAUGAUUUUAAUGUAAACACAUGUGGGCAAACUAUUCUACUUUGAGGAAGAAAUUCACUCUUUAUACAGAUCUGUUAUUUUAGUACCUCUAUGCAAUUAUUAUGAUUGAUUGAAUUGCACUGGGUACAUAAGGAUAUUCAUAGUGCAGUGCAUGUUGACACAUGGAAAUGAUAAUAGAAAAAAUUAAAUAUACUAUUACUAUA